This is an RNA transcript of Populus trichocarpa (black cottonwood), 2611 nucleotides long. It is a transcript of the gene named peptidyl-prolyl cis-trans isomerase PASTICCINO1, with no coding region annotated. The transcript is spliced from 21 exons. NCBI's taxonomy places the organism in Eukaryota, Viridiplantae, Streptophyta, Magnoliopsida, Malpighiales, Salicaceae. The record is from RefSeq and is a predicted model, not a curated record.
CAAGAAAUUGGGAUGGAAAUGGAACAUCGAUUAAUCUAUAGAGGUGAAAAUGAAAUUUACCCAAAAAAUUAACCAAACGCUCUAACUAAUUUCCAACUCCUCCAUCGACCUUCAUCUUCGAAGAUAACGACCUGCGGUCAAUUAGUCACAGAUUCUUCUAGAAAUCAGGAUAUAUUGCAUUUCGAUCCGUGCAAUUCAGUUCAUUUACCACUGUAAGUUCUGCUAGGGUUUAGUCAGUCUGCUUGUUAUUCCAUUGCUCAGCUUCGAUUCUUCGAAGUCGGGGAUCAGACAUGGCUGCGGAGGACGGUACGGCGCAAGAAUAUGUGCCACAGAAGAAGAAUAAAGAGCCUACCGAGACCGAGAAGAGGAGAAAGAAAAUUGUGCCUGGAAGUUUAAUGAAAGCUGAAAUUAGACCAGGAGGAGGUGAUGCGAGACCAUCUGAUGGUGAUCAGGUCAUAUAUCAUUGCACUGUUAGGACAUUAGCUGGAGUUGUUGUUGAGUCUACAAGAUCAGAAUAUGGAGGCAAGGGCACUCCAAUACGACAGGUUUUGGGAAAAAGCAAGAUGUUAUUAGGAUUACUUGAAGGGCUUCCAACAAUGUUGAGUGGUGAAGUUGCAAUGUUCAAGAUGAAACCUCAAAUGCAUUAUUCUGAGGCGGACUGUCCAGUUUCACCUCCAAGUAGCUUUCCAAGGGAUGAUGAACUUCAUUUUGAGAUUGAGAUGAUAGACUUUUCGAAAGUCAAGGUUGUCAGUGAUGAUUUAGGAGUCAUAAAGAAGGUAAUAGAUGAAGGGCAGGGUUGGGAGUCGCCAAGAGAACCAUAUGAAGUAAAAGCUUGGAUUUCUGCGAAGACAGGAGAUGACAAAGUAAUUCUAUCGCCCAAACAAGGAGAACCUUAUUUCUUUACUAUUGGAAAAUCUGAGGUACCUAAAGGUCUUGAGAUGGGAAUUGGAACUAUGACACGAGAAGAGAAGGCAGUAAUAUAUGUUACCAAUCAGUACUUGACUGAAUCUCCGCUCAUGUCCGUGGUAGGUCUUGAGGAAGUUCAGUUCGAAGUAGAGCUUAUCCAUUUCACUCAGGUGAGGGACAUGCUUGGAGAUGGACGCUUGAUAAAGCGUCGGCUUCGUGAUGGAAAAGGUGAGUUUCCUAUGGAUUGCCCACUUCAGGACAGUCUACUACGGGUUCAUUACAAGGGUAUGCUGCUUAAUGAAGAAAAGACAGUCGUCAUUGAUACAAGAAUUGAUAAUGAUGGUCAGCCUUUGGAGUUCAGCUCUGGAGAAGGGCUUGUGCCUGAAGGUUUUGAAAUGUGUGUGCGCUUAAUGCUUCCUGGAGAGGUAGCUCUUGUUACUUGCCCUCCUGACUACGCAUAUGACAAGUUUACCAGACCGGCAAAUGUUCCUGAAGGUGCUCAUAUUGAAUGGGAAAUUGAGCUUCUUGGUUUUGAGAUGCCAAAGGAUUGGACUGGUUUGGACUUUCAGGGUGUAAUGGAUGAAGCAGAGAAGAUCAGAACCACAGGAAACAGGCUUUUCAAAGAAGGAAAGUUUGAGCUUGCUAAGGCAAAAUAUGAGAAGGUUCUUCGAGAAUUUAAUCAUGUUAAUCCACAAGAUGACGAGGAAGGGAAAGUUUUCCUGAAUACAAGAAAUUUGUUAAAUCUAAAUGUCGCUGCAUGCCACCUCAAAUUAGGGGAAUGCAGAAAGUCCAUUGAGACAUGCAAUAAGGUUCUGGAAGCAAAUCCUGCACACGUCAAGGCCCUUUAUCGCCGUGGAAUGGCCUACAUGGAAGUUGGAGAUUUUGAGGAAGCAAGAAGUGAUUUUGAAAUGAUGUUGAAAGUCGACAAAUCAUCUGAACUUGAUGCAACAGCAGCUCUUAAAAAACUGAAGCAGAAGCAGCAGGAUGUCGAGAAGAAGGCACGGAGACAAUUUAAAGGACUAUUUGACAAGAAGCCAGGGGAAAUUGCAGAUGCUGGAACUGACGACAGAGGAGAAGAGCAGAGUACAAGUGAAAAUCAGAAGAAUGGUGAUCAGGAGGAUUCAAAUGGGACUGACACAGAGGAUGUUGAAGAUGUGGCCGAUGAACCUAGAGAAGGAUUGUUCUCCCGCUUGUGGCCAACUGGUAGAAGAUUGUUUUCAGCUCUCGGGCUUCAAAGAUGUGCGAUAUUGUGACAAAGCUGUAGAUCAGCAUUAUUUUUGUCACAGGCUGGAAAAAAUCUGACUUUGAAAGGAAAAAACACAUCAAAGAAGCGCUAAAAGGAGGAUCAAAAAGUAAAGAUUGAAGGCUAGAUUGUAUUCACAUAAGAUUUUCAAUUUCAAGUUCUAUAGCAAGCAACACAAACUUUCUAAGUGUGGUUUUAUGGGUUUUGUUCAAAACCAAUAGAGAAUGGCUUUUAUUCAAAAAAAAAUAUCGUUUUCUUUAUCUUUGGAGAUUCUACCUUGGUCUUGGUUUUACAACUUAAUAUUGUUGAGUUUUGAAGUUCAACCAAUCGAACACGUUCAUAUAUAAAAUAAGAACAGAUAUAAGAGAAAGUGGUUACAAAAAGAAAUUCAAGUCAAAUUGUCAGUUUUUUUUCUAAUUUCUGACAGAAAUUUAUAUUCUUAUAUAAAUUUAUAUUUUUUUA